Melozone crissalis (California towhee) is the source of this 172-nucleotide long non-coding RNA. RefSeq lists it as uncharacterized. The record is from RefSeq and is a predicted model, not a curated record. The transcript has 4 exons. Lineage: Eukaryota; Metazoa; Chordata; Aves; Passeriformes; Passerellidae.
GGAAGAUGAAGGUGGCUGUGCUCAGCGUGGCCCUGCUCUUCUCCAUCCUUCUGUGCCUGCCAGCUCAGAGCCAGGCCAACAUGGAGGGCAGCGGAGUGAUCUGUGCUGGACAAAUCGGUGGCAUUGGUGAUGGCCAGUCCGGGAUCGUGGGAGGCAUUCGAGGCUGCAUCAA